AUAGGGGUUCAAAUGGUUUGUCAUACUUUAGUGGCAUUUAGGGCAUAUAUAAGGUUUCAAAUGGUUUGUCUUACUUUAGUGUCAAAUAGGGUAUAGAUAGGGAAUAUUUAGGGGUUGAUAAGGAUUGUCUUCGCAUACCACUCAUUUAGGGAAUAUUAGGGGUUGAUAAAGAUUGUCACAACAGUUAAAUCGAGCAACUAAAUGUUUCAAAUAAAGUAAAAAAUAAAGAGUAACUACAAGAAUCAAAUACAAGAGUCAAAUAAGAGAGCCAAUAACAACCUAUUUCCUUAACAAGUCAUAAACAAAAGAACUUCAAUCAAGUUCCACUAGAGGAUUUGUGAUCGUCUUUGGAGGAGUGUAUUGUGUCAUUCUCAAAAUAAGCUCAUGAUCAUUGGCAGCUUCCCAUAGGUGGUAAGCAAUCUUUUGGAGCG
Molecule: long non-coding RNA, 431 nt
Filed under: Brassica napus (rape)
Lineage: Eukaryota; Viridiplantae; Streptophyta; Magnoliopsida; Brassicales; Brassicaceae
Description: long non-coding RNA (BNAP_LNC022978)
Source: RNAcentral